RNAcentral lists this ribosomal RNA (253 nucleotides) under uncultured bacterium. Its description in RNAcentral is "partial 16S ribosomal RNA". It matches the Rfam family "Bacterial small subunit ribosomal RNA", at positions 524 to 776 of the family's 1533-position model. The record is from RNAcentral.
UACGUAGGGGGCUAGCGUUGUCCGGAUUUAUUGGGCGUAAAGAGCUCGUAGGCGGCUUGUCACGUCGGGUGUGAAAGCCCGGGGCUUAACCCCGGGUCUGCAUUCGAUACGGGCAGGCUAGAGUGUGGUAGGGGAGAUCGGAAUUCCUGGUGUAGCGGUGAAAUGCGUAGAUAUCUGGAGGAACACCGGUGGCGAAGGCGGCAUCCUGGACCAACACUGACACUGAGGAGCGAAAGCCAGGGGAGCAAACGGG